GCCUUCGUGGUGUAAUGGUCAGCACGCUCGACGCGUAACCGAACGAUCCAUGGUUCGAUUCCUGGCGAUGGCA
This 73-nucleotide transfer RNA is filed under the name Stegodyphus mimosarum. It matches the Rfam family "tRNA". Rfam says of the family: Transfer RNA (tRNA) molecules are approximately 80 nucleotides in length. Their secondary structure includes four short double-helical elements and three loops (D, anti-codon, and T loops). Lineage: Eukaryota; Metazoa; Arthropoda; Arachnida; Araneae; Eresidae. The record is from Rfam by way of RNAcentral.